This 373-nucleotide ribosomal RNA is filed under the name Burmoniscus ocellatus. RNAcentral describes it as "partial 12S ribosomal RNA". Lineage: Eukaryota; Metazoa; Arthropoda; Malacostraca; Isopoda; Philosciidae. The record is from RNAcentral.
UUAGAUACCCUAUUAUAUUUAAGUGAUUAGACUUAAGGUAGUAGUUGCUAUACUCUUGAAACCUAAAGAAUUUGGCAGUGUUUAUUUAAAUCAGAGGACCUUGCCAAGUAAACGAUAAUCCACGUUAAAUCUUACUUUUUUUAUGCUUGUAUACCGUCAUCUAUAUACCUUUUUAUAAAAAGAGUGUAGAAUUUUUUUUUUUAAACUUAAGUUAGAUCAAGGUGCAGCUUUUAAAAGUUUUGGUGAGGUACAAUUUAAAUUUAAUUGGACUAAUACUUUAAUAGUUUUAAGAAAUAGGAUUUGAACGUAAUCUUAAUUUAAUAAGUUAGGAUGAGUAAUUAACUAAACAUGUACACAUCGCCCGUCGCUCUUA